This 250-nucleotide ribosomal RNA is filed under the name Pseudomonas sp. URIL14HWK12:I12. Lineage: Bacteria; Pseudomonadati; Pseudomonadota; Gammaproteobacteria; Pseudomonadales; Pseudomonadaceae. The record is from RNAcentral.
ACCAUAUAACACCCAAGCAAUCUGCCCAGAGCAGAUGCGGUGGUGAAGCGACACAGCCGAAAAUUCGCCAGAUACGCACAAACAUCACAUACCUGAAUUCGCUGCAACGCCUAGGCGCGGCAGCUACCGAAUUUCUUGACGACCAUAGAGCGUUGGAACCACCUGAUCCCAUCCCGAACUCAGUAGUGAAACGACGCAUCGCCGAUGGUAGUGUGGGGUUUCCCCAUGUGAGAGUAGGUCAUCGUCAAGA